RNAcentral lists this unclassified non-coding RNA (518 nucleotides) under uncultured Entrophospora. RNAcentral's name for it is "SSU rRNA". It matches the Rfam family "Eukaryotic small subunit ribosomal RNA", at positions 569 to 1081 of the family's 1831-position model. Lineage: Eukaryota; Fungi; Glomeromycota; Glomeromycetes; Entrophosporales; Entrophosporaceae. The record is from RNAcentral.
AGCAGCCGCGGUAAUUCCAGCUCCAAUAGCGUAUAUUAAAGUUGUUGCAGUUAAAAAGCUCGUAGUUGAAUUUCGGGAUUGACGUGAUGGUCGUGCCUUAAGGGGUAUGAACUGUUGCUGUUGAUUUCUCACCUUCUGGAGAAACUUGAUGUCCUUAAUUGGGUGUCUUGCGGAUCCAGGACCUUUACCUUGAAAAAUUAGAGUGUUUAAAGCAGGCAUUUUUGCUCGAAUACAUUAGCAUGGAAUAAUAGAAUAGGACGGCAUGGUUCUAUUUUGUUGGUUUCUAGGAUCACCGUAAUGAUUAAUAGGGAUAGUUGGGGGCAUUAGUAUUCAAUUGUCAGAGGUGAAAUUCUUGGAUUUAUUGAAGACUAACUACUGCGAAAGCAUUUUGCCAAGGAUGUUUUCAUUAAUCAAGAACGAAAGUUAGGGGAUCGAAGACGAUCAGAUACCGUCGUAGUCUUAACCAUAAACUAUGCCGACUAGGAAUCAGACGAUGUUAAUUUUUAAUGUACUCGUUU